CCUACGGGACGCAGCAGUGAGGAAUAUUGGUCAAUGGGAGAGAUCCUGAACCAGCCAAGCCGCGUGAGGGAAGACGGCCCUAUGGGUUGUAAACCUCUUUUGUCGGAGAACAAAACCCGGGACGAGUCCCGGACUGCGUGUAUCCGAAGAAAAAGCAUCGGCUAACUCCGUGCCAGCAGCCGCGGUAAUACGGAGGAUGCGAGCGUUAUCCGGAUUUAUUGGGUGUAAAGGGAGCGCAGGCGGCUUGGCAAGUCUGAUGUGAAAGGCUGGGGCUCAACCCCAGGACUGCAUUGGAAACUGUUAGG
Molecule: ribosomal RNA, 305 nt
Filed under: uncultured bacterium
Lineage: Bacteria
Description: bacterial SSU rRNA
Rfam family: Bacterial small subunit ribosomal RNA
Source: RNAcentral